Molecule: ribosomal RNA, 279 nt
Filed under: uncultured bacterium
Lineage: Bacteria
Description: partial 16S ribosomal RNA
Rfam family: Bacterial small subunit ribosomal RNA
Source: RNAcentral
UGCCAGCCUCCGCUGUACUCCUGAUGGUGCGAGCAUUAAUCGGAAUUACUGGGCGUAAAGCGCGCGUAGGUGGUUUGAUAAGCUAGCUGUGAAAGCCCCGGGCUCAACCUGGGAACUGCAGUUAGAACUGUCUGGCUAGAGUACAGUAGAGGGUGGCGGAAUUUCCUGUGUAGCGGUGAAAUGCGUAGAUAUAGGAAGGAACAUCAGUGGCGAAGGCGGCCACCUGGACUGAUACUGACACUGAGGUGCGAAAGCGUGGGGAGCAAACAGGAUUAGAUA